UACGUAGGGUGCAAGCGUUUAAUCGGAAUUACUGGGCGUAAAGCGUGCGCAGGCGGUUGUGCAAGACCGAUGUGAAAUCCCCGGGCUUAACCUGGGAAUGGCAUUGGUGACUGCACGGCUAGAGUGUGUCAGAGGGGGGGUAGAAUUCCACGUGUAGCAGUGAAAUGCGUAGAGAUGUGGAGGAAUACCGAUGGCGAAGGCAGCCCCCCUGGGCUGAGAUUGACGCUCAGGCACGAAAGCGUGGGGAGCAAACAGG
This 256-nucleotide ribosomal RNA is filed under the name uncultured bacterium. RNAcentral describes it as "partial 16S ribosomal RNA". It matches the Rfam family "Bacterial small subunit ribosomal RNA", at positions 524 to 776 of the family's 1533-position model. The record is from RNAcentral.